UCACAGGUUCCUGCUUCACCAGGUCGAUCCAGUCUGAGAGUCACAGUCCGGGCUCCUCCACAAAUCAUGGAGUCAACCAGGAUGAAACUCAUGUGUACGGCUCUCUUCAACAUGGUACUGCUGAUAUCUAUGAAUCAGUCACACAAGUGACAAACAGAAAUGGUACAGUAUAUGUACUGAAAAGCAC
This is a long non-coding RNA of Oreochromis niloticus (Nile tilapia), 187 nucleotides long. RefSeq lists it as uncharacterized. The transcript has 3 exons. The record is from RefSeq and is a predicted model, not a curated record. Lineage: Eukaryota; Metazoa; Chordata; Actinopteri; Cichliformes; Cichlidae.